RNAcentral lists this transfer RNA (22 nucleotides) under Gymnema sylvestre. Its description in RNAcentral is "partial tRNA-Leu". The record is from RNAcentral. Lineage: Eukaryota; Viridiplantae; Streptophyta; Magnoliopsida; Gentianales; Apocynaceae.
GGUGCAAGUCCCAGUAUCCCCA